CUAUGCAACAUAGAGAUUUCAGUUAAAAUGAAAUGUUGAUUAAUAAAGGUCAAGACAAGACAAAAUUUAAGCGUCGUUACAAUUUAUUUCUUGUUCAGUUUAAUUUUAAUUGUAAAUUUUAAUUCGUGAUUAAAUUUUGAACUGGUCUAUUACGGUCAAAUGUCAUUGGACUACAAUCAAUCGAUGAAGUAUUAAUGGAUGAACAUCAAAUAAAGGAAUAAUUUGUGAAAAUUUACUUUCAUCAGACGAUUUAGCCAAUAAUCAUACUUUUCUCGACUGACUUUGUCUCGGGCAACUUUCACCAAACGAUAGCUUCUUUGCAGUGAUAUCCAGUAUCUAGUGAAACUAACAACCAGUCAAAUACACGGCUAAUUGCAAGCUAAAUUAUGAUUCCCAGAGGAUAAAUUUAGUUGAUAGCAGAUAUAUUUCUCUGGUUAUUUUGGGUAUAAUUUAUUCGCAGUUGAAAGCAUUUUGCCUAAGGAUGUCACAUUGAGUAUCAAAUUUUCGAUAAUAAUAGUCAACAACAGCAACCAAAUCAACAGACUCAAUCAUUAAAUUUAAUGAAGAUGCAGUCAUUUCUUGCACUGGUGUGAUGGCUUUUGACGCCGUUUAAUCAAAUGUUGGAAUAGCAGUGAAGAUGGACAACAAGGCUAGCGAAAAUGAAAUGAUGCUAUACAUCAAUAGAUACACAUUUUUGGCUGGACCUGUUGUUUACCGUAUCAUGGGGCUCAUACAAAAUUUGGUGUAAAUUCAGCGAUUCAUCUACAUAAAAGAUUAGCUGUCAGAUUUGGCGAAGCGUGUAAAUUAAUGUAUCAAUCUUGGGUCAAUUUUUCAAGGAAUACAUAAAGUCCAUUCUGUCUUGAUGAUUACACAGUUUCACUUGAAAAGUGCAGGCCAAUUGUAUUGAGCCAGCCUCACAGUUAUUCAUAUUGAUGUGAAGCAAAAAGUUGAUCACGUUAACGGUGCUUAUGAAUUGAGAGUUUGAUGAAGUUAAUGUGAAAAGCAAAGUGAUUGUUGUUGAACAAGUCAACCUGAACAUUGGUUGGAUAAAGAAAUCGGUAAAAAUCAUUGCUGAAUAAGUAAAUAGGGAAAGAAUGAGAAGAAGAGAGAAAAAAAAAUAGAAGAUGAAAGAUGAAGAAAAGUGUUCAACUUUCUGGUAAAUGCUGUGACGGGAAAACAACUGGUCGGAAGGUAUGGAAAAGGUGUCCAGGAAGAUGUUUAUGGUUGGAUGAUGGUUUCUAGACUAGUGUUGACUCCAAUCGAUACAGGCCAAUAAUACACGAAAAAAUGUUUCCAAUUUUUCUCAUAAAAAAUUUUCCUCUCUCUUUCAAAUGCUUUCCUUUUUUCUUCCUCUUCCGUUAAAUACCUUUCUGUCUUCUCCUUUCUCUACUUUGUUUUUUUUCUCGCAGCUCAUCAACAGUCCUCAUGCCAUUCCAACAAAAUCAGUAUUGUUAAACAAUUCCCAUCCAUUGAAGAAACGGUAUCAUCAUCUUGAACAUUGAACGCAAAAAAAGGAGCCAACUGUUACCUUGCCGGUUAUAACCACUCAAGUGAUUCUCAACUAAUGGCCAAGUUGCAAGUUUAUAUCCAAUAAACUUCAGGAAUUGAUUUUUUUUUGUUUUCCAAGGUUAAUUAUUGGUUAAAUGAUUAGCUUGACAGAAAAGCUUUUCAGUUUGAAUAUCAUUUACUGCCUGUUUAAUUGCAGGUAAAUAUGGAUCCUGUUAAUUUGCUGAAAAUAAUCCAAUUUCCGUAUUUAUGAUCACUUUCAAAUUCAAAAUGAUAUUCUUGGGUUUCAUCUCUGGUAUCACCUUCACUUGACUGCUUUCAUCCUUAGACGCAAUCAACCCAAACAAUCAACCAAGUUGACUGAUCUUAUGCAAGCUGUUACAUUUGAAACGUCCAUCGUUGCUGCCCUUUCAACCAUAAAACUGGUAAAAAUGUUUCAACAUCGACUUUUUCCGUUGAGGUCAGCUUUCCUUAUCAGAUCCUUCGUUAACCAGAUUAGGAUGGAUUAAUUAGGCCUCUCUUUGACAGCGAGCACACCAAAAACGCUCUUCUCAUAAAUACAUCAACAAUUCGCCGGCAGAAUUUAGAUUCCAAUCGAAUUAUUUGCACCUGACAAAUUGAUUUACUGCAAUGAAAUUUAAUCCGGUUACCAUUUACACCGUCUUUAAAUAUCAUUUACAAAUCUUGUCUUUUUUCGUCGUCUUUCAACAAUCCGAGCAAUACUUGAAUGAAUGUGUUACUCGAUGUCAAUUCAAUGAUACAACAAUUUAACAGUUGAGGUACCACUUGUUUAAUUGAUAAUUAUCUUUCACUUACAAAGGACGCAAAUAAAUCAAAUUGGUACUUCAUCAUGGUUUGGUUGGUAAAUUGAUUCAUGAAGCCAGAAGCUAAAACAAGACGAUAUCAGGAUACAGAGCGCGUUGAACGAGUAUUAAUAGCCUUUUAAAGGUUAACUCAAAUGAUAACCUUUUACUGAUAGGUUUGAUAUUUAUAUACAUCUAAUAUUUACUGGUCACUUUUGCCUUUCUAUUAUUAUCUGAUCAAUAGUCGACCAAGCUUUAUUGUUUAGACCAAUUACCUUAACAAAUUAACUCUUUCCUUUCCUUGAUUUACUUUACAGGGCUUACAUGAAGACUAAAGAGUUGAGUUGCUCAUCACGAACCGUCAAGAAUCAACAAGAAUCACAAUAAUGGUAAUAAUAGUAAUGGUUAGUUUUAAACCAAUUCAUUGAGUUUAACUAAUCACGAAGUGAAUCUUGAUCACAAUCAAAUAUCUAUGGUUAACAGUUAUACCAAUAAAACAUGAAAACAACCCUUA
Non-coding RNA from Tetranychus urticae (two-spotted spider mite), 2823 nucleotides. Lineage: Eukaryota; Metazoa; Arthropoda; Arachnida; Trombidiformes; Tetranychidae. The record is from RefSeq and is a predicted model, not a curated record.